RNAcentral lists this ribosomal RNA (395 nucleotides) under uncultured bacterium. RNAcentral describes it as "partial 16S ribosomal RNA". It matches the Rfam family "Bacterial small subunit ribosomal RNA", at positions 523 to 918 of the family's 1533-position model. The record is from RNAcentral.
AUACGUAGGGUGCAAGCGUUAAUCGGAAUUACUGGGCGUAAAGCGUGCGCAGGCGGUUUUGUAAGACAGAGGUGAAAUCCCCGGGCUCAACCUGGGAACUGCCUUUGUGACUGCAAGGCUAGAGUACGGCAGAGGGGGAUGGAAUUCCGCGUGUAGCAGUGAAAUGCGUAGAUAUGCGGAGGAACACCGAUGGCGAAGGGAAGCCCCUGGGCCUGUACUGACGCUCAUGCACGAAAGCGUGGGGAGCAAACAGGAGUAGAGACCCUGGUAGUCCACGCCCUAAACGAUGUCAACUGGUUGUUGGGUCUUCAUUGACUCAGUAACGAAGCUAACGCGUGAAGUUGACCGCCUGGGGAGUACGGCCGCAAGGUUGAAACUCAAAUGAAUUGACGGGG